UGCUUUCAAAACUACUAAGCUAGAGUAUCAGAGGGGAUGGCGGAAUUCCUAGUGUAGAGGUGAAAUUCGUAGAUAUUAGGAGGACCACCGGUGGCGAAAGCGGCCAUCUGGCUGAUUACUGACGCUGUUGUACGAAAGCGUGGGGAGCAAACAGGAUUAGAUACCCUGGUAGUCCACGCAGUAAACGAUGAGUGCUAGAUGUUGGGGUUUUUCUUCAGUGUCGCAGCUAACGCGUUAAGCACUCCGCCUGGGGAGUACGGUCGCAAGAUUAAAACUCAAAGGAAUUGACGGGGACCCGCACAAGCGGUGGAACAUGUGGUUUAAUUCGAUGCUACGCGAAAAACCUUACCAGAUCUUGACAUGAUAUUCGUACAGCUAGGAAACU
This 385-nucleotide ribosomal RNA is filed under the name Candidatus Lariskella arthropodorum. Its description in RNAcentral is "bacterial SSU rRNA". It matches the Rfam family "Bacterial small subunit ribosomal RNA", at positions 622 to 1008 of the family's 1533-position model. Lineage: Bacteria; Pseudomonadati; Pseudomonadota; Alphaproteobacteria; Rickettsiales; Candidatus Midichloriaceae. The record is from RNAcentral.